Molecule: ribosomal RNA, 351 nt
Filed under: Triticum aestivum (bread wheat)
Lineage: Eukaryota; Viridiplantae; Streptophyta; Magnoliopsida; Poales; Poaceae
Description: partial small subunit ribosomal RNA
Source: RNAcentral
AUGGAAGAGAAUAAAGAAGAAGACGACGACGACAGCUAUCCUGGCCAUGGGUUCCCUGAAUACGAUGGUACAACUAUGGGGGAAGAAGCUAAGCCGGUAAUGCGGGAAGAAGCUGAAGAAGAGGCAUCAGAUGAGCCUGCUGAUGAUCUUGGUCGGGCCAUUGCCGAUGCAAAGAGAAACUGCGCAACUGAAAAGGAGAGGUUAAAGUUACAAUGCAUGUUAGAGGAUCACAAGAAAUUCUUGUACCCAAAUUGCGAAGAUGAGAAGAAAAAGCUGUGCACACCACACUGGAAUUGCUGUAAUGGAAGGCGGAGAAUGGAAUAUCUGACAAGGGAUUUAAAAAGUUGCUGA